RNAcentral lists this ribosomal RNA (466 nucleotides) under uncultured bacterium. Its description in RNAcentral is "bacterial SSU rRNA". It matches the Rfam family "Bacterial small subunit ribosomal RNA", at positions 28 to 526 of the family's 1533-position model. The record is from RNAcentral.
GACGAACGCUGGCGGCGUGCCUAAUGCAUGCAAGUCGCACGGUCGCCCUUCGGGGCGGCAGUGGCGCACGGCUGAGGAACACGUGGGGAUCGGCCCGUUCGUGGGGGACAACGCCGGGAAACCGGCGCUAAUCCCGCAUACGCUCGCCUUCGGGCGAGGAAAGCGCCUCGGCGCGCGGACGGACGACCCUGCGGCCCAUCAGGUUGUUGGCGGGGUAACGGCCCACCAAGCCACUGACGGGUAGCUGGUCUGGGAGGAUGACCAGCCAGACUGGGACUGAGACACGGCCCAGACUCCUACGGGAGGCAGCAGCAAGGAAUUUUCGGCAAUGGGCGCAAGCCUGACCGAGCAACGCCGCGUGGUGGAUGACGGCCUUCGGGUUGUAAACACCUUUUGGGGGGGAUGACAUCGACCGUACCCCCCGAACAAGCCCCGGCUAACUCUGUGCCAGCCGCCGCAGUAACAC